AGAGUUUGAUCCUGGCUCAGGAUGAACGCUAAUAGUAGGCUUUACACAUGCGGGUUGAACGAAUUUAAUUAGUAGCGAACGGGUGCGUAAUAAAUAGGAAUCUGCCUUAUAGCUCGGACUUAAAUUCCGAAUAAUUUAUAAAGAAUAUUUUGCUAUAAGAUGAGCCUUUUUAGGAUUAGGUUGUUGGUGAGGUAAAAGCUUACCAAGCCUAUGAUCCUUAGUUGGUCUGUGAGGACGGUCAGCCACACUGGGACUGAGACAAGGCCCAGGCUUCGUUUGAAGCCAGCAGUGGGGAAUCUUGGACAAUGAGCGAAAGCUUGAUCCAGCUAUACUAAAUAAGUGAUGACAGCUUGACAUUGGUUGUAAAACUUAGACUUCAAAGAGGAUUAUGACGUUAUUUGAAAGAUUAGUCCCAGCUAACUUCGUGCCAGCAGCUGCGGUAAUACGAAGGGGGCGUGCGUUAUCCGGAAUGAUUGGGCGUAAAGGGUUCGUGGGUGGUAUAUAUCAAUAAUUGUUAAAAAUUAGAGCCUAACUCUAUAAAAGCUUUUUAUAAUGUAUAUACCUGGAGUGCAAUAGGGGGUAGUGGAAUUUUAUAGGAAGGGGUAAAAUCUGACGAUCUAUAAAGGAACAUCAGUGGCGAAGGCGACUACCUGGGUUGUUACUGACACUGAGGAACGAAAGCGUGGGGAGCAAACAGGAUUAGAUACCCUGGUAGUCCACGCUGUAAAAUCUGAGUGUUCGUGCUUAGUUUGAGUAUACGUUUAAAUGGAGUAGACUAGAUUGAUAGUUUGAAAGUUGAAAGUUUAGAAGGGUUUCAACUUUUAAGCUCUUGGGUGUUUUUGUUUUUGGACUUAAAUAUCGUUAAUCUUUUAGAAAAAUUUUCUCGGUCUCUAUCUUUAGGCACCAAGCUAACGCGUUAAACACUCCGCCUGGGGAGUACGAUUGCAAGAUUGAAACUCAAAGGAAUUGACGGG
This 974-nucleotide ribosomal RNA is filed under the name uncultured bacterium. RNAcentral describes it as "bacterial SSU rRNA". It matches the Rfam family "Bacterial small subunit ribosomal RNA", at positions 8 to 917 of the family's 1533-position model. The record is from RNAcentral.